RNAcentral lists this ribosomal RNA (253 nucleotides) under uncultured archaeon. RNAcentral's name for it is "partial 16S ribosomal RNA". It matches the Rfam family "Archaeal small subunit ribosomal RNA", at positions 474 to 727 of the family's 1478-position model. The record is from RNAcentral.
AACCAGCACCUCAAGUGGUCAGGAUGAUUAUUGGGCCUAAAGCAUCCGUAGCCUGUUCUGUAAGUUUUCGGUUAAAUCUAUGCGCUCAACGUAUAGGCUGCCGAAAAUACUGCGGAACUAGGGAGUGGGAGAGGUAGACGGUACUCGGUAGGAAGGGGUAAAAUCCUUUGAUCUAUUGAUGACCACCAGUGGCGAAGGCGGCCACCUGGACUAAUACUGACACUGAGGUGCGAAAGCGUGGGGAGCAAACCGG